CUCAGUGUUUCCUUACGCUGUGCUGAUCUGUUUUCUCAUCAGAGGGCUUAUGUUGGAUGGCACAAUAGAGGGCAACAAAAAUAUGUUUUACCUUAAGCUGGAGAUUUGAGGGGAAGUGCAGGUGUGGCGUCAGGCUGCUACACAGGUGUUCUUUUGCUCUGGGUCUGGGUUAUGGCUCUGUGAUCCAUAGGACACACAUUACUGUUCAAAGGUUUGAGUUUGUAGCUGUAUCCUGGGCCUCUUUAUUUGCCUGCUAUUCACUCAGAGAAGUGGCAACUAUUUCGUGACCAUGUUUGAUGACUAUUCUGCCACAUUGCCACUGAUCAUCAUUGUUGUUUUUGAAACUGUCAGCGUGGCAUGGAUUUGCGGUGC
Long non-coding RNA from Carassius auratus (goldfish), 372 nucleotides. RefSeq lists it as uncharacterized. The transcript is spliced from 3 exons. Lineage: Eukaryota; Metazoa; Chordata; Actinopteri; Cypriniformes; Cyprinidae. The record is from RefSeq and is a predicted model, not a curated record.